This 26-nucleotide non-coding RNA is filed under the name Homo sapiens (human). The record is from RNAcentral. Lineage: Eukaryota; Metazoa; Chordata; Mammalia; Primates; Hominidae.
UAAGGUCUAAUACAGCUGGUGACUUU